UCCUCCUUUAAAGCGCUUCUAUUGGAGUAUUUUUCAUUACAGCAAAUGGAAGAGAAAGGAAGGCAGGAAUGUUACCCAUGAGGGUGUUUGGUCAUAGCAGAAGAAAAGUAACAUUGAAGGGAUAACCAAGAGUCAGAAAUGAUGAUCUGGACCACAGCAGAUCGGACCUUCUCCUGCUCCCUUUGAAGUCAGCUGUCCCUGCAUCCUUGGAUGGGCAUCAUGAGAAGAACAAAGUGCAGGGCUCCAGAAGGCCAGAUCAUGGCAAAUGCAGGCCGAAGCAUGGCAAACAUGGCACCAACAUGUUUUACCCUUUACCCUUCUCUGUACUGCUAGACCAUUAGAUGACAUUCCUAAAGCUAGCCCCCAAGGUCUAUUCCCUUAUUUGGUCACUGACCCAAUCCUGAGACUGAUCAGCAAGUCCAACUAUCAAAAUAUCAAGGUCCGGCAAUCAAAAUUCAU
Molecule: long non-coding RNA, 459 nt
Organism: Chionomys nivalis (European snow vole)
Lineage: Eukaryota; Metazoa; Chordata; Mammalia; Rodentia; Cricetidae
Exons: 4
Source: RefSeq, a predicted model, not a curated record